Long non-coding RNA from Labrus mixtus (cuckoo wrasse), 279 nucleotides. RefSeq lists it as uncharacterized. The transcript has 2 exons. NCBI's taxonomy places the organism in Eukaryota, Metazoa, Chordata, Actinopteri, Labriformes, Labridae. The record is from RefSeq and is a predicted model, not a curated record.
UGUUACAUAAGAUGAUCGCAUUUCUUCAUUAAGACUGAGAAAUGUUUCUUCCCACUUUGAAAAUAUUCACUUAAACAAUUACUGAUUUUCUUUUCUGUCAUUACUUUUCUAUAUGUCCAUCAGAAGUAACUAAUCCCAUUUGUACACAUUCAUACGCCACCGACAAAGCAGUGUAAGCAACUUGGGGUUUAGUGUCUUGCCCAAGGACACAUCGGACAUGUAGCUGCAGGAGCUGGGGAUUGAAGUUGUAUUUCUUUAGACCCCAUUGUUAAAAUAGAA